AUUGAACGCUGGCGGCAGGCCUAACACAUGCAAGUCGAACGGUAACAGGAAGAAGCUUGCUUCUUUGCUGACGAGUGGCGGACGGGUGAGUAAUGUCUGGGAAACUGCCUGAUGGAGGGGGAUAACUACUGGAAACGGUAGCUAAUACCGCAUAACGUCAAGACCAAAGAGGGGGACCUUCGGGCCUCUUGCCAUCGGAUGUGCCCAGAUGGGAUUAGCUAGUAGGUGGGGUAACGGCUCACCUAGGCGACGAUCCCUAGCUGGUCUGAGAGGAUGACCAGCCACACUGGAACUGAGACACGGUCCAGACUCCUACGGGAGGCAGCAGUGGGGAAUAUUGCACAAUGGGCGCAAGCCUGAUGCAGCCAUGCCGCGUGUAUGAAGAAGGCCUUCGGGUUGUAAAGUACUUUCAGCGGGGAGGAAGGGAGUAAAGUUAAUACCUUUGCUCAUUGACGUUACCCGCAGAAGAAGCACCGGCUAACUCCGUG
RNAcentral lists this ribosomal RNA (488 nucleotides) under uncultured bacterium. RNAcentral's name for it is "partial 16S ribosomal RNA". It matches the Rfam family "Bacterial small subunit ribosomal RNA", at positions 30 to 507 of the family's 1533-position model. The record is from RNAcentral.